Molecule: small nucleolar RNA, 131 nt
Organism: Meriones unguiculatus (Mongolian gerbil)
Lineage: Eukaryota; Metazoa; Chordata; Mammalia; Rodentia; Muridae
Source: Ensembl
CCUGUCACUAGCAGCUCUGUGGUGAUGGCCCUUGUGCCACAUCUGCAUUAGUAGGUGGCAGAGAGGAGAAAGGCCAUGUCUAUGCUCAGGGUUCUGACUAUGAACAUCUGAAUAAUUAGUAGCCUACCAUU